GACGAACGCUGGCGGCGUGCCUAAUACAUGCAAGUCGAGCGCAGUUUUUCUGGUUUUUGCACCGGAAAAACUUAGCGGCGAACGGGUGAGUCACACGUAACGAACCUGCCUCAUAGACUUGGCCAUCUAUUGGAAUCGAUAGCUAAUCCCGGAUAAUAGCAUUACCUGCAUUGUUGUUGUUUUAUAGUUUGUUUUGCUAACACUAUGAGAUUGCUUUGCGUUGCAUUAGCUAGUUGGUGGGGUAAAGGCCUACCAAGGCGACGAAGCAUAGCCGACCUGAGAGGGGGAUCGGCAAAACGGGAACUGGGACACGGCCAAGACGCCUACGGGAGGCAGCAGAAGGGAAUCUUCGGCAAGGAGCGAAAGCAUGACGGAGCAACGCCGCUGGAUGGAAGAAGGAUUUGGGUUGGAAAAGCUCGGUUGUAAGGGAAGAAGGAUGGGGGAGUAAAAAGACAAAGUAGAGACGGUACCUAACCAGAAAGCGACGGCUAACUACGUG
Molecule: ribosomal RNA, 499 nt
Filed under: uncultured bacterium
Lineage: Bacteria
Description: partial 16S ribosomal RNA
Rfam family: Bacterial small subunit ribosomal RNA
Source: RNAcentral